UGGGGAAUAUUGCACAAUGGCGCAAGCCUGAUGCAGCCAUGCCGCGUGUGUGAAGAAGGCCUUCGGGUUGUAAAGCACUUUCAGUCAGGAGGAAAGGUUAGUAGUUAAUACCUGCUAGCUGUGACGUUACUGACAGAAGAAGCACCGGCUAACUCCGUGCCAGCAGCCGCGGUAAUACGGAGGGUGCGAGCGUUAAUCGGAAUUACUGGGCGUAAAGCGUACGCAGGCGGUUUGUUAAGCGAGAUGUGAAAGCCCCGGGCUCAACCUGGGAACUGCAUUUCGAACUGGCAAACUAGAGUGUGAUAGAGGGUGGUAGAAUUUCAGGUGUAGCGGUGAAAUGCGUAGAGAUCUGAAGGAAUACCGAUGGCGAAGGCAGCCACCUGGGUCAACACUGACGCUCAUGUACGAAAGCGUGGGGAGCAAACAGGAUUAGAUACCCUGGUAGUCCACGCCGUAAACGAUGUMUACUAGAAGCUCGGAACCUCGGUUCUGUUUUCAAAGCUAACGC
RNAcentral lists this ribosomal RNA (508 nucleotides) under uncultured bacterium. RNAcentral describes it as "bacterial SSU rRNA". It matches the Rfam family "Bacterial small subunit ribosomal RNA", at positions 355 to 858 of the family's 1533-position model. The record is from RNAcentral.